CUUAAUGCAAUAUUUAAAUAGUUACUAUCGAGUUGCAACAGUAUCAAGUGUAUUUCUUAGAGUGUCAGAAAUGUUUUUUCACCUGGAAGUGUGUUGGGAUAUCCAACACUCCUUAUAUCAGAAUGAACUAGUCUUCCUUCUUUGUCUUUUUUGUCUUUCUAGAUUGUGGAUCACUGGGGAGAAUAUUUGGGAUAAAGAAAUGAAAGGCACAAGGGAAGAUCCACGUCCCCAAGAGAAUGCUUUAGGUACCAUAUGCAGCUUCUGAACCAUGUGGAUAAUCCCGGCUCCCACAGAAACCUUCCAAAGCUGGAAGGGACAAGGAAGAAAAUUCGAGGAACAGUGGGAAAUGCUUUCUUCCGGGUCUGGAUGGCAUUGAGGUCAGAACGAGUUCUAAAUAUUGUUUGUGCCUCUCCUGUUGCCAGCCCAGGACUAAGUCAAUGUUCCCUGAGUGGCUGCAGUUCCCUGUGUGUGGAGGGAGGAGGUCCAUGCUGGAGAGUGAGAGAAAGGUCUCUGCUGGUGUCUGUGUCCUCAGUGGGCAGAGAGUUCUAACCUUGGCCAGAUGUGUUGGACAGGAAGAACCACUGAACUUGUCCCAUCCUUGCCAAGAGCUUUGGUGUUUGAACAGCCAAACCCAACCUGGUCCUGCCCAUGGAGUGGGUAAGUCACAGGUUCCUCUUCUCCUCUCUGCUAUGAUGAACUGUGUAAGAAAUGCCAUUUCCAGCAGCCUGGUCUGCUGGAAAAGGGGAGAAGGAAAGAGGAAAUGUGGUGCCAGAGCUGUGUCCUGCCAGGUUGUGUUUCCUUCCUUCUGAGGACAGAGUCACUGGGCCAAGAUGAGUUUGCUGUGAUUGCUUAGAUGAGCAAUUCAGGGAACAGAAAGCUUGGAACUGCAGCUGCUGCUGGAACCAGUGCUUUAGGUCUGCUUUAGGUUGCAAAGAUCGAGUCCUACAGUCCCAGAGUGAUUGAGGGGGUGUUGUGUUGUGUUAGGUUGAAAGUUGGACUGUUCUGCAACCCCCUCUAUUUGCAAUGGUUCUGCCUUGGUUCUCUCCUCCCUCCCUUGUGCUGCCAGUUAUCCCAACUCCUCCCCAGUUUCCUUAGAAACUAAUGUAUCCUAUCUCAAGUCCCUCCCUAGUUCCCUGUCCGUCACUCGGCGUUCCCACCCUUCCAUCUAGAAGCUUCAGCUUGGCGCCUAAUAUGAGGCCCGAGGGCAUCUCCAGACCCCGCAGACAAGGCUUGUAGACCCUCUGGAUUUUAUUCCUCGGACACCUGCUUUAAGUCUCCUUGGCCGUCAAGCUACCUCCGGUAGAGCAGACCCCUUUUUGGUGGGUAGUGCUCCCGGGGGAUCAGGAACGGCAGCUCCUUGCACCCAAGGAGUCGUUCCCCCAGCAGAAGCCAUUGCUCCCAGAUUUCUUUUGGCCCUCGUCAGAUUGUGCUGGAACUGUCUUUCUGGAUGUGUGCUGAGCUCUUGCUGCUGUGAACUGUGUGGCCUUAAUUGCUGCAGGGUUCUAUUCUUCUCACAGGGGAAUUGGAAAUAUUUAUUAAUUAGAGUGCAGAGAUAUUUUCUGAAACCUUUCCCUUUUUUCUGCCUUUUAAUGGUAGAUCUUCUCUUUCUGCCUCUGAAUAUAUGGUGAUUCUCAGAUGUCAUUUACUGGCCCAAACUCCUUGCAGCUCCUGGGGCAGAGACAAGCUUUUCCUAUUGCCGAGGUUCAGUGGGAAAAUGAUACUGUGUCGCACCUCCUUCAAACAUUGAACUGCUCAUUUUAUCUUAGAGCAUAGAUUUAGUUGAUCCUUUUUCAACAGAAUGUGGUGGGCUGAACUCACCUGAAUUAAUAAACCAUGCUUUAGAUAGUUGAGGUUUUUAAAGGAAAAAAGAAAAAGCCAGCGAGCUUUUCAUCUGUGGGCUUAAUUGGUACUGCUCCUUAACUCAGCCACACCUUUAAGAAAUGACAUGGGCACAUUCUAGAAACAGUGUUUCUAGUCACACUAUUGUUAUAGAUGGAUAUUAAGAAAAUUGGCUCUUGCAUUAAGAGAUAACUAUUGUGUGAAUAUUAAGAAAAGCUUUAGUGAUGUAUAGUUAUGUUGUUGUAGUUUAGAUGUCCUCUGUUCUCCCCACAGUUCCCUUUCCCCUCCUGUAUUGUUGCCAUCAGAGCAUGGGUUGUCUAGGACAGGUAAAAAGAAGGCUGCACAUGUGCCCCUUGCAUGGGGCAGUUGGGAAUGGGAAAGCUCAGGGCAUGCUUAGGGGGCGCAGCAUGGCAACACCUCAAGAUAAGUAAAUGUAAACAAUGUUUAGAAGCACAAUAAACAGCUUGUGGUUGAUUCACA
Long non-coding RNA from Haemorhous mexicanus (house finch), 2319 nucleotides. RefSeq lists it as uncharacterized. NCBI's taxonomy places the organism in Eukaryota, Metazoa, Chordata, Aves, Passeriformes, Fringillidae. The record is from RefSeq and is a predicted model, not a curated record. The transcript is spliced from 3 exons.